UGAAAGGGCCCGGUAGGACCCGGUCCAACGAGGAGCCGUCUAGGUAAAACUGGUAACUGGGGCU
Molecule: ribosomal RNA, 64 nt
Filed under: uncultured bacterium
Lineage: Bacteria
Description: partial 16S ribosomal RNA
Source: RNAcentral